This is a non-coding RNA of Trichonephila clavipes, 73 nucleotides long. NCBI's taxonomy places the organism in Eukaryota, Metazoa, Arthropoda, Arachnida, Araneae, Nephilidae. The record is from the annotation of a GenBank genome assembly.
GCCCCUGUAGCGUAAUGGAGAGCGCUUUGGACUUGUCAUCCAAAGAUCGUGGGCUCAAAGCCCACAUGGGAUG